Molecule: ribosomal RNA, 17 nt
Filed under: Melanesobasis corniculata marginata
Lineage: Eukaryota; Metazoa; Arthropoda; Insecta; Odonata; Coenagrionidae
Description: partial 28S ribosomal RNA
Source: RNAcentral
CCCAACCUCAAAGCAGG